Molecule: non-coding RNA, 755 nt
Organism: Equus caballus (horse)
Lineage: Eukaryota; Metazoa; Chordata; Mammalia; Perissodactyla; Equidae
Source: RefSeq, a predicted model, not a curated record
ACAAUUAUUUUGUUUUGUUUUGUUUUUUGUUUCUGGAACUGGAAUUUCCUUUCUUCUACUUACUUUGAGGUUACUUUGCUCUUCGCUUUCAGCUUCCUAAGGUUGAUCCUCAGGUACUUGACUUUAGGCACUUAUUUCUUCUUUUCUCAUACAGGCAUUUAGGACUCUAAGUUUUCCUCUAAGCAUUGCCUUAGCUCCUCAAAUUUUGAUAUUUUUGUUAUUCAGUUCAAAAUCUUUUCUAAUUUUUCUUGUGAUUAUUUCUUUGACUCAUGAGUUACUUGGCUUAUGUACCUUCUGUAUAUCUUCCUUGGUGAGGUGUCUGUCCAGGCUUUUUGCCCAUUUUUUUCAGGGGAGAACGUGAACACAGAGCAGUCCCCUCCUAGGACACGUGGGGAAAUCACAGGGGUGAGCAUUGGAUGAGCCUUGUCCUGGGGAAACCACCUUUGUGAUCACGGCAUCUCAUCUGCCAGACUCUUCAAGGAAAGAUCGUCCGUCACAGGCCCCGGAAGAGACGUCCACUGCCUUCCAGACAAGAAAGACCACUCCAGCAACCCAGCCAACGAGAAACAGUCACCACCCUGAACAAGACCUUGUUUUCCACCAAUGGGCUUCUGUUCAAAACAACCCUCCCAACUUCCUCCUUUUUCUCUAUAAAAUAAAGUCCCUCUCCUUUGUGUGCUAGACUUGACUGUGGCUUUUGCUAUAGUGUGCUUGUCCCAAAUUGCAAUUCCUUUCCUAUUCCCAAAUAAACUGAU